Molecule: unclassified non-coding RNA, 329 nt
Filed under: soil metagenome
Description: partial contains 5.8S ribosomal RNA, internal transcribed spacer 2, and large subunit ribosomal RNA
Rfam family: 5.8S ribosomal RNA (bases 1-120)
Source: RNAcentral
GAUGAAGAACGCAGCGAAAUGCGAUAAGUAAUGUGAAUUGCAGAAUUCAGUGAAUCAUCGAAUCUUUGAACGCACAUUGCGCCCCCUGGUAUUCCGGGGGGCAUGCCUGUCCGAGCGUCAUUACAACCCUCAAGCUCAGCUUGGUGUUGGGCCCCGCCGCCCCGGCGGGCCCUAAAGUCAGUGGCGGUGCCGUCCGGCUCCGAGCGUAGUAAUUCUUCUCGCUCUGGAGGUCCGGUCGGGUGCUCGCCAGCAACCCCCAAUUUUUUUCAGGUUGACCUCGGAUCAGGUAGGGAUACCCGCUGAACUUAAGCAUAUCAAUAAGCGGAGGA